RNAcentral lists this ribosomal RNA (784 nucleotides) under uncultured bacterium. RNAcentral's name for it is "bacterial SSU rRNA". It matches the Rfam family "Bacterial small subunit ribosomal RNA", at positions 8 to 796 of the family's 1533-position model. The record is from RNAcentral.
AGAGUUUGAUCAUGGCUCAGAACGAACGUUGGCGGCGUGGAUUAGGCAUGCAAGUCGAACGAAUCCCAGCGGGCUUGCUCGCUGGGGAAAGUGGCGAAAGGGGCAGUAAGGCGUGGGUAACCUACCCUGGGGUCCGGCAUAGCCGUCCUAACGGACGGGUAAUUCCGGGCGACGUAACGCGAUCGCCUGACCGUGUUACCAAAGGUUUUCCGCCCCAGGAGGGGCCCACGUGGUAUUAGCUUGUUGGCGGGGUAACGGCCCACCAAGGCCAAGAUGCCUAGCGGGUGUGAGAGCACGACCCGCGCCACUGGCACUGAGACACUGGCCAGACUCCUACGGGAGGCUGCAGUCGAGGAUCUUCGGCAAUGGGCGCAAGCCUGACCGAGCGACGCCGCGUGCGCGAUGAAGGCCUUCGGGUUGUAAAGCGCUGUCGAGGGGGAGGAAAGCCCGCAAGGGUCUGACCUAUCCCUGGAGGAAGCACGGGCUAAGUUCGUGCCAGCAGCCGCGGUAAGACGAACCGUGCGAACGUUGUUCGGAUUCACUGGGCUUAAAGGGCGCGUAGGCGGGUCGUCAAGUCCGGGGUGAAAUCCUCUCGCUCAACGAGAGAACUGCCCCGGAUACUGGGGAUCUCGAGGGAGGUAGGGGCAUGUGGAACUUCCGGUGGAGCGGUGAAAUGCGUAGAUAUCGGAAGGAACGCCGGUGGCGAAAGCGACGUGCUGGACCUCUUCUGACGCUGAGGCGCGAAAGCCAGGGGAGCAAACGGGAUUAGAUACCCCGGUAGUCC